GACGAACGCUGGCGGCGUGCCUAAUACAUGCAAGUAGAACGCUGAAGGAGGAGCUUGCUUCUCUGGAUGAGUUGCGAACGGGUGAGUAACGCGUAGGUAACCUGCCUGGUAGCGGGGGAUAACUAUUGGAAACGAUAGCUAAUACCGCAUAAUAGUAGAUGUUGCAUGACAUUUGCUUAAAAGGUGCAAUUGCAUCACUACCAGAUGGACCUGCGUUGUAUUAGCUAGUUGGUGAGGUAACGGCUCACCAAGGCGACGAUACAUAGCCGACCUGAGAGGGUGAUCGGCCACACUGAGACUGAGACACGGCCCAGACUCCUACGGGAGGCAGCAGUAGGGAAUCUUCGGCAAUGGACGGAAGUCUGACCGAGCAACGCCGCGUGAGUGAAGAAGGUUUUCGGAUCGUAAAGCUCUGUUGUAAGAGAAGAACGAGUGUGAGAGUGGAAAGUUCACACUGUGACGGUAUCUUACCAGAAAGGGACGGCUAACUACGUG
Molecule: ribosomal RNA, 495 nt
Filed under: uncultured bacterium
Lineage: Bacteria
Description: partial 16S ribosomal RNA
Rfam family: Bacterial small subunit ribosomal RNA
Source: RNAcentral